UUACAUUUUGAUACUGCCACCAAGUACAUCAAGAAUUAAAACAUGAUUUGAGUUUUAACCAGACUGUCUGUCAGUUUUCACUCUAUUCUAGGUAAUGACAUGUUCCUCCACCCAACAGCUAGCAACAGCAAACUUUGUGAUACAAGUUGGAAAGUCUACAUACUUUCUGUUCAGAUGAAGACAAUGCUUCCAUGCAAAAGAGUUCUGCCCGCUCUGACUCUGGUUCCUGUCUCCAGUCCGACUUCUCAUCAGUCCUGCUACUCUGUCCUGGAUUCCCCACUCUAUGCUCCCUUGGAUUCCCCUCCGGACCUGCUUACCCUGUCCCAGCACUUCUCGCUCCAGCCUCAGCCUCCACACCUGGUUUCCGGCAACCCGCCUAAUCUUCCCCCCGUGUUUCAAUAAAUACCUUGGUUACCUCAUCCCAGUCUCAUCUGAGUCAGCUCUUGGGUUCACCUGUUUCGCUCCAUGUGACAUCUUUACCGCAAAAAUGAAUCUGAUUUUCAAACAAAUCACUUCAAAAACCGUUACAGAACUGCCCACCACAACUGGAUCAAGCAGCAUGCUCGGGAG
This 570-nucleotide long non-coding RNA is filed under the name Salmo salar (Atlantic salmon). RNAcentral describes it as "lncRNA (ENSSSAG00000120102.1)". The record is from RNAcentral. Lineage: Eukaryota; Metazoa; Chordata; Actinopteri; Salmoniformes; Salmonidae.